GCCGCUAUGGUGAAAUUGGUAGACCGCGC
This 29-nucleotide transfer RNA is filed under the name Mertensia bakeri. Its description in RNAcentral is "partial tRNA-Leu". Lineage: Eukaryota; Viridiplantae; Streptophyta; Magnoliopsida; Boraginales; Boraginaceae. The record is from RNAcentral. RNAcentral also lists the same sequence under 4 other names.